RNAcentral lists this long non-coding RNA (369 nucleotides) under Gallus gallus (chicken). Lineage: Eukaryota; Metazoa; Chordata; Aves; Galliformes; Phasianidae. The record is from RNAcentral.
CAAGCAGGUGGACUCUCAGUGUCUUGCAAGUGACAGCUAGCAGCAGCAGGUCCAGCCAGGAGGCACAGCACCCUGCAACCUCCAGGGGCCUUUGUGCAACAGCAGAUGUUGAUGCCCUAGAAGCACGGUGCGGAGCACAUCCUGGGAUCAAGGUGCCACGGACUGGAAAAUGCUGCUGUGGCGGAGUUCCUGUGUGAAGACAAAACUCCCAGUCCCCCAGAAAAGUGGAGGCAGAAGAGCAGUGACAAGGCAUUGUGUUUAACUUAAAAAACUUAAAAAAUGAACGGACGAAGAAUAGCUUUGUUUGCAUUCUGGUGACUGCUGAGGCUUUGGCUGACGACAGCUUUCAGCUGCACCUGAACUAGGCUG